Molecule: ribosomal RNA, 292 nt
Filed under: uncultured Bacteroidota bacterium
Lineage: Bacteria; Pseudomonadati; Bacteroidota
Description: uncultured Bacteroidetes bacterium partial 16S ribosomal RNA
Source: RNAcentral
GGACUACAGGGGUAUCUAAUCCUGUUUGAUCCCCACGCUUUCGUGCAUGAGCGUCUGUAUUAAAUUCGUUGCCUGUCUUCACGAUCGGCGUUCUGUGACAUAUCUAAGCAUUUCACCGCUACACAUCACAUUCCGGCAACGUCAUUUAAACUCUAGUCAAGCAGUAUCAAAGGCAGUCUUGCAGUUAAGCUGCAAAAUUUCACCCCUGACUUACCUGUCCGCCUGCGCACCCUUUAAACCCAAUAAAUCCGGAUAACGCUUGCAUCCUCCGUAUUACCGCGGCUGCUGGCAC